Molecule: microRNA precursor, 72 nt
Filed under: Bombyx mori (domestic silkworm)
Lineage: Eukaryota; Metazoa; Arthropoda; Insecta; Lepidoptera; Bombycidae
Description: mir-2774 microRNA precursor family
Rfam family: mir-2774 microRNA precursor family
Source: Rfam by way of RNAcentral
ACAACAUUCGGACCGUCGCGACGGUCAGCCGAGCAAUUUCACCCGCUCGGUGGAAGAUCUUCCCUAUGUUGU